RNAcentral lists this long non-coding RNA (1108 nucleotides) under Sus scrofa (pig). Its description in RNAcentral is "lncRNA (ENSSSCG00060004000.1)". Lineage: Eukaryota; Metazoa; Chordata; Mammalia; Artiodactyla; Suidae. The record is from RNAcentral.
UGGGUGGUGCUGCGCCCUUAGGAGGUGUAUGGUAGAGGAGCAGGACCUACAGCACAUGCGCGGAGUCCAGCCCCGGGCUGGCGGGCAACUGUCUCACCUGCUCACCUCGUGGCUUCGGCGGGCAGCUCCGGGACAUCGGGUCUUGGCGUCUUCACUCCCAGGAGAGCAGAUCCACCGCAUCAAGGGGAGCUGUGAAAACGGAAGGCAGAGCUGAGGAUGCCUGUGCCUGGGCCCUCCUACCGGGUGUCCGUCUCUGCGAGGGGGGAAGACGGGGGAGAGCGGCGCUGCCCCCACCACCUCCCGCGGGAAGGGGACGCUGCAGGUGCCCAUCACCCAGUGAGGGUGGCAUUAGCCUGGUGGCACCACCGAGCCGCCCCGCGACCCGCUGCUCCUGCCCCUGGCGAUCUGACGUUUCAGUUUCUUUCACUUAAAUUUCAAGGGCAGCAGUCACGUGUGGUUACCAGAGCGGACAGCCCAGAAGUAGAGCAUGUCAACCUCACAGACAGUUCCACGGGGCUGUUCUAGAGGGAGCAGGUCCGGGUCUGGGGACCAGGGAGACCCCGUGGAGAGGGGGGGACUCAGGAGCCUGCUCUGUCCAGCUCAGGCCUCUGACCCAUGUCCUCCUGAUGCCUCAUUCCUAGGAGACACAUGGACGCAUUCACAGGAUGGAAACAAUCCCGGCCCGUGGACAGAGCAUGUUUACAUUCUCAUCGGGGUCUCUGCAGCCUUUCUCCUUUGUCUCCUCCUCUUGGUCCUCCUCCUCCUCCAGCGCUGGCAUCAGAGGAAACGGGGUAGGUCUCAGGGACCGGGUGGGGUGACCUGGGCAGGCUGUUUGGGGUUCUGGGAAGAAGCCUUCUCAUCUCAACUCACACCUGACUCUCCUCAGGGCCCCCCAGAAACAAAGGCAAGGAGCCAGAGCCCCAGGAGAGGUGAGGACUCUGGGAAUGACCCCUAGCCCCCCAGCCCUCCGCCUCCAGGCAGCCCUCAGGGCUCACUGUUCUUUCUCUGCAGGCUCAGCCCAGCUGUUGACGUCCUAGAUGGGACACCAGGUACAGACAAGGGUGGGACAGGUCUGGGAGGGGAAGGGGGCAUUCACUGCCAUCCAGGA